GCUCGGAUGGUGGAAUAGGUAGACACGAGGGACUUAAAAUCCCUUGGGCAGUGAUGUCCGUACGGGUUCGAUUCCCGUUCCGAGUACAA
RNAcentral lists this transfer RNA (89 nucleotides) under Alistipes indistinctus YIT 12060. Its description in RNAcentral is "tRNA-Leu". It matches the Rfam family "tRNA". From Rfam's summary of the family: Transfer RNA (tRNA) molecules are approximately 80 nucleotides in length. Their secondary structure includes four short double-helical elements and three loops (D, anti-codon, and T loops). Further hydrogen bonds mediate the characteristic L-shaped molecular structure. tRNAs have two regions of fundamental functional importance: the anti-codon, which is responsible for specific mRNA codon recognition, and the 3' end, to which the tRNAs corresponding amino acid is attached (by aminoacyl-tRNA synthetases). tRNAs cope with the degeneracy of the genetic code in two manners: having more than one tRNA (with a specific anti-codon) for a particular amino acid; and 'wobble' base-pairing, i.e. permitting non-standard base-pairing at the 3rd anti-codon position. Lineage: Bacteria; Pseudomonadati; Bacteroidota; Bacteroidia; Bacteroidales; Rikenellaceae. The record is from RNAcentral.